Molecule: ribosomal RNA, 253 nt
Filed under: uncultured bacterium
Lineage: Bacteria
Description: partial 16S ribosomal RNA
Rfam family: Bacterial small subunit ribosomal RNA
Source: RNAcentral
UACGUAGGGUCCAAGCGUUAUCCGGAAUCACUGGGCGUAAAGCGUGCGUAGGUGGCGUGUUAAGUGUGAUGUUAAAUCGUGUGGCUCAACCAUAUCGAUGUGUCGCAUACUGGCAUGCUAGAGGACAGCAGAGGCAAGUGGAAUUAGUAGUGUAGCAGUGAAAUGCGUAGAUAUCAGGCAGAACACCUGGGGCGAAGGCGGCCAGCUGGGCCGUCCCUGACGCUGAGGCGCGACAGCGUGGGGAGCAAGCAGG